RNAcentral lists this long non-coding RNA (282 nucleotides) under Mytilus galloprovincialis (Mediterranean mussel). The record is from RNAcentral. Lineage: Eukaryota; Metazoa; Mollusca; Bivalvia; Mytilida; Mytilidae.
GCGAAAAAAAAUGUGACUCAGAUAAAAAAAAUAACCCUCCCCCUUUUUUUAAGUUAAGUGGUUGCUACUCUAUGAAAGCCAUUUUUAUAAUUUGCAGUAGUUUGAAUAUACUAGAGAUGUCUCGAUUACGCAUUAGAAAACGUUAGCUGCAGCAGCGUGUUUACAGCCGAAAAAAGGAUUGAGAUAUUAGGGAUCACUACAUUUUUAUCUUUUCUGUUUGUUUUCAAAUGGUAUUUCUUCUCCAAGGAGUAUUUGGUAAAGGAAUAGGGUAACGUUUUUUUU